Molecule: microRNA, 24 nt
Filed under: Aedes aegypti (yellow fever mosquito)
Lineage: Eukaryota; Metazoa; Arthropoda; Insecta; Diptera; Culicidae
Description: aae-miR-2945-5p
Source: miRBase by way of RNAcentral
AGCGGGUCCGUUUCUAGUGUCAUG